Molecule: ribosomal RNA, 479 nt
Filed under: uncultured bacterium
Lineage: Bacteria
Description: bacterial SSU rRNA
Rfam family: Bacterial small subunit ribosomal RNA
Source: RNAcentral
ACGCUGGCGGCGUGCCUAACACAUGCAAGUCGAGCGGAGUUUUUGAGUUGAGACCUUCGGGUGGAUUCUUAAGAAACUUAGUCGGCGGACGGGUGAGUAACGCGUGAGCAACCUGCCUUUCAGAGGGGAAUAACACAGUGAAAAACUGUACUAAUACCGCAUAAUGUGUUUUGUUCGCAUGAACGAAACACCAAAGGAGCAAUCCGCUGAAAGAUGGGCUCGCGUCCGAUUAGAUAGUUGGUGAGGUAAACGGCCCACCAAGUCUGCGAUCGGUAGCCGGACUGAGAGGUUGAACGGCCACAUUGGGACUGAGAUACGGCCCAGACUCCUACGGGAGGCAGCAGUGAGGGAUAUUAGGCAAUGGGGGAAACCCUGACCUAGCAACGCCGCGUGAAGGAUGAAGGUUUUCGGAUUGUAAACUUCUUUGACGAGGGACGAUAGUGACGGUACCUCGAAAACAAGCCACGGCUAACUACGUG